UCCUGACCUCGUGAUCCACCCACCUCAACCUCCCAAAGUGCUGGGAUAACAGGCGUGAGCCACGGUGCCUGGCCAUUUCCUUAAGCCAAUUUUAUGCUACUUUUAUCUAAAAUGUUUACUUCCAAGAAGGACAUGCCCCAUAUGGCACCCUGUUUUAGAUUUGCAGAAUUUUUGUUUUUCUCUAGAGAACUUAAAUUGCCUUUUUUUUUUAAGAUUUAAAAAUCUAUACAUAGAAAUUUUCAUUUUAUUGCUAGUAAUGUCAAAUGUGAAGCAAUGUAGGAUACUUCCAAGUAUUUUUGUACCCUUUUGGGUCUUUUUUGAUUGCCUGCUUUUGAGCAUGUAAAGGAUUUUUAGCCAAUUUGUAAAUGAGAUGUGAAUCUUAUGGAUAGCAUUUUAAUAACUGCUAGAUUCAAUGAUUUACAUCUCCACAUAUACAUGCAUACAUACAUACAUGCCUGUCCAAUUGUGUAUUCUAACGUUGCUUUCUUGGGGAGGAGGAGAUUCUAAUUUUUGUGCAGUCUGGUUAUGGAUCUUUUUUAAAAAAAAUUAAGUAUAGAAUAGCUAUUCAUCAUAAAUAAAUCAGAAUUAUGAGCAAUUAGAUCUUGGCAAAAAUUCUUGCUUGCCAAAUUCCAUUGCCUGGGACACACAGCUGGGUACACUUGGUGAAAAUCAACUUUUGCCAUUCCUAGGCUUGGCCUGUAAAACCCUCACCCAGUCCUGUGUGCUUUCUCCAUCUGGCUGAAUGCACAGAAUGGUCUCUAGAAGACAGCAGAGUCACAGAGUGGAGCCUGGGUUCCUCCAUCACCACUUAGAAGACAAUAUUGCUAUAUGAGAAAUUUUUGUUGUAUUAAGGCAUUGAGACUUGGGGAUUUAUCUGUUAUAGCUGCUAGUGUUACUCUAAUAGAAAUAUAGAUGUCCUCAAAUCUAAUAAUAAAAAGGCACUUGUUUAUCUAGUAGGUAUACUGAGUGAUGGUGUUUUCCUCUUUUUUUGAAAAAUAGGGGUCUCACUACAUUGCCCACGCUGGUCUCAAACUUCUGGGCUCAAGUGAUCCUCCCACCUUGGCCUUCCCUUUGUUGGGAUUGCAGGCAUGAGCCACCGCGUCCAGGCAAGUAAUGGUGUUUUAAACAGACUCUGGAGCCAGACUACCUGAGUUCAAAUCUCAACUUCAGCUCCUCCCAGCUGUAUAACCGGGACAGAAUUCUACUGUAUGACUAUGCCAUCACUAAUCCAUCCUCCCAUUGAUGGACACCAAGGCUGUUUCCAAUUUGUUUAGGGUUUUUUUUGCUACUGAAAAUAAAAGCUACUAUGAAUAUUCUUGUACAAA
This is a non-coding RNA of Macaca mulatta (Rhesus monkey), 1325 nucleotides long. The record is from RefSeq and is a predicted model, not a curated record. Lineage: Eukaryota; Metazoa; Chordata; Mammalia; Primates; Cercopithecidae.